UGAGGAAUAUUGGUCAAUGGGCGGGAGCCUGAACCAGCCAAGCCGCGUGAGGGAGGAAGGCCCUAUGGGUCGUAAACCUCUUUUGUCAGGGAACAAAAGCGAGUAUGUAUACUAGUCUGAGUGUACCUGAAGAAAAAGCAUCGGCUAACUCCGUGCCAGCAGCCGCGGUAAUACGGAGGAUGCGAGCGUUAUCCGGAUUUAUUGGGUUUAAAGGGUGCGUAGGCGGCGGUGCAAGUCAGCGGUAAAAGCCCGGGGCUCAACCUCGGCGAGCCGUUGAAACUGCAGUGCUAGAGAAGGCGAGAGGUACGCGGAAUGCGCAGUGUAGCGGUGAAAUGCUUAGAUAUUGCGCAGAACUCCGAUUGCGAAGGCAGCGUACUGGCGCCUGACUGACGCUGAGGCACGAAAGCGUGGGGAUCGAACAGGAUUAGAUACCC
RNAcentral lists this ribosomal RNA (434 nucleotides) under uncultured bacterium. RNAcentral's name for it is "bacterial SSU rRNA". It matches the Rfam family "Bacterial small subunit ribosomal RNA", at positions 355 to 787 of the family's 1533-position model. The record is from RNAcentral.